This 456-nucleotide ribosomal RNA is filed under the name uncultured bacterium. Its description in RNAcentral is "SSU rRNA". It matches the Rfam family "Bacterial small subunit ribosomal RNA", at positions 26 to 518 of the family's 1533-position model. The record is from RNAcentral.
AGAACGAACGCUGGCGGCAGGCCUAACACAUGCAAGUCGAACGCCGUAGCAAUACGGAGUGGCAGACGGGUGAGUAACGCGUGGGAACAUACCCCUCGGUUUGGAAUAACUCAGGGAAACUUGAGCUAAUACCGGAUACGUCCGAGGUUUUAAUCGACCUUGGAGAAAGAUUUAUCGCCGGAGGAUUGGCCCGCGUCUGAUUAGCUUGUUGGUGAGGUAAUGGCUCACCAAGGCGACGAUCAGUAGCUGGUCUGAGAGGAUGAUCAGCCACAUUGGGACUGAGACACGGCCCAAACUCCUACGGGAGGCAGCAGUGGGGAAUAUUGGACAAUGGGCGAAAGCCUGAUCCAGCCAUGCCGCGUGAGUGAUGAAGGCCUUAGGGUUGUAAAGCUCUUUUACCCGGGAAGAUAAUGACGGUACCGGAGAAUAAGCCCGCUAACUCGUGCCAGCAGCCGC